This is a non-coding RNA of Marchantia polymorpha subsp. ruderalis, 107 nucleotides long. The record is from the annotation of a GenBank genome assembly. Lineage: Eukaryota; Viridiplantae; Streptophyta; Marchantiopsida; Marchantiales; Marchantiaceae.
GUUUCAUCAGUGCGCUGACAUCUCGCGAAUCGGAUGGAAGGACGUUCCACAACCGGGAGUGUAUGCCCCAUCCAUCGAGUCGAGAGAUGUCAUCGUCACGAUGUAAU